UCGUGCAAAGUUUGGUUCUG
Molecule: unclassified non-coding RNA, 20 nt
Filed under: Mus musculus (house mouse)
Lineage: Eukaryota; Metazoa; Chordata; Mammalia; Rodentia; Muridae
Description: oocyte_clustered_small_RNA12515
Source: RNAcentral